GAUCUGUUCGUCUAACGGUCCAGGACGCAAGAUUUUCAUUCUUGUAAUAUGGGUUCAACUCCCAUACAGAUUA
RNAcentral lists this transfer RNA (73 nucleotides) under Terrimonas sp. RNAcentral's name for it is "tRNA-Glu". It matches the Rfam family "tRNA". Rfam says of the family: Transfer RNA (tRNA) molecules are approximately 80 nucleotides in length. Lineage: Bacteria; Pseudomonadati; Bacteroidota; Chitinophagia; Chitinophagales; Chitinophagaceae. The record is from RNAcentral.